This 468-nucleotide ribosomal RNA is filed under the name uncultured bacterium. RNAcentral describes it as "partial 16S ribosomal RNA". It matches the Rfam family "Bacterial small subunit ribosomal RNA", at positions 28 to 507 of the family's 1533-position model. The record is from RNAcentral.
GACGAACGCUGGCGGCGUGCUUAACACAUGCAAGUCGAACGGAAAGGCCCUGCUUUUGUGGGGUGCUCGAGUGGCGAACGGGUGAGUAACACGUGCGUAACCUGCCCUUGACUUUGGGAUAACUUCAGGUAACUGGGGCUAAUACCGGAUAGGAGCUCCUGCUGCAUGGUGGGGGUUGGAAAGUUUAGGCGGUUGGGGAUGGAUUCGCGGCUUAUCAGCUUGUUGGUGGGGUAGUGGCUUACCAAGGCUUUGACGGGUAGCCGGCCUGAGAGGGUGACCGGCCACAGUGGGACUGAGAUACGGGCCGGACUCCUACGGGAGGCAGCAGUGGGGAAUAAUGCACGAUGGACGGAAGCCUGAUGCAGCAACGCCGCGUGCGGGAUGACGGCCUGCGGGUGGUGAGCCGCUUUCGCCUGUGACGAAGCGUGAGUGACGGUAAUGGGUAAAGAAGCACCGGCUAACUACGUG